RNAcentral lists this long non-coding RNA (511 nucleotides) under Heterocephalus glaber (naked mole-rat). RNAcentral's name for it is "lncRNA (ENSHGLG00000032923.1)". Lineage: Eukaryota; Metazoa; Chordata; Mammalia; Rodentia; Bathyergidae. The record is from RNAcentral.
GCCACAUGUGUGGCCAGGGUUCACUUGGGACAGGAGAGCCUGGGCACCACCACGGCGGGAGGAAGAAGGGAAUCCCCAAGCCUUGGGAACAACUGCUGGGGACCUCAUAGCCUGCUUCCCCAUCAGGAGUUGCACACAGCAAUGGGUGAUGUCACAAAGGAGAGAUACCAAGGCCAAGGGAGAGGACCCCAGCGGAUGCCAAGCUGGGUUCAACAUGGUGAGACUCAGAAGCUCCCCCAGGUGUGCUGCUCCAACUCCCGGUGCCUUUCCCUGCCUGGUGGCCAACAGCAAGCCCAGGUGACUUCCUGCUGCAUCUCAGAAUUGAAAAGUUAGGGGACAAUGCUCUUGAUUGACCUGAUUGGCCUCUUUCCAACGACCAUUUCAAGGGACUAAUAACUGGUAGAGAUCCUGCAAAACUUUGGGCCAGCACAAUCCAACAGGAAGCUGAGACUGUGAGGAGGAAGCAGGAAGUUCCUUAAUCAGACAGUGCGGAGUGGACUAGACAGGAGCC